CGAAAGUGAAUUUGGAUAAGAUAUGAGUCGAUGCUAAAUAUACCAUCAAGGGCAGAACUAGCUUGAAGAUAUUCUGAAAAGAUUUUAAACCUGUCUAAAAUGGGUUAUGUAUAUCGGCUACUACGAAAUGAUGAAAAUCCGGAAAUGGGAUUGAUGGCAAAGAACAUAUGGUCUAAAGUGAGCGUACAGGAGCACGUGGCAUUUGGAUCGCAUGGAGUCGCUUCAAGAUACAUAUCCUGUUGUAAAUCUGAAGCAGCUGUACAGAGACUUGCUUUUUUAUCCCGCACAAAUCCAAAGAGGAUCGCGCUGCUUAAGGUCGGUCUCGUCUUCUCAAACAUGAAAAUCAUAGAUCUGACGGAUCCACGUGAACUUCUCUAUCAUUUAGAAGAUCCUAGGGCUAUUAGGCUUGCCACUCAAUUUGAGGAAGUUUUGGUUGAAGAUUACAUUCAUAAAACAUGCUUUGUUCGUUAUAUUCCGUAUAAACCGAUAGUUGCAGGCAUAUAUUAAUACUGAAAACAUGCUGCACGAAUUGGAAAGUUAAAAGUUUCUCUUCUUUUUGUAGUUUCUAAUAGAUCAAAUAAAUGAUGUAACAGUAUAGAUUUGCUCAUAAAAAGUAAUUAUGAUGUUUGUACACGUGUGCUUGUUUAAUUAAAUAACGAA
Magallana angulata is the source of this 660-nucleotide long non-coding RNA. RefSeq lists it as uncharacterized. The record is from RefSeq and is a predicted model, not a curated record. The transcript is spliced from 3 exons. NCBI's taxonomy places the organism in Eukaryota, Metazoa, Mollusca, Bivalvia, Ostreida, Ostreidae.